This is a long non-coding RNA of Bombyx mori (domestic silkworm), 202 nucleotides long. RefSeq lists it as uncharacterized. Lineage: Eukaryota; Metazoa; Arthropoda; Insecta; Lepidoptera; Bombycidae. The transcript has 2 exons. The record is from RefSeq and is a predicted model, not a curated record.
GUCACUAAACUAAAAAUACCGCGAUAAUUUUUCUCAAUAUCGAGAAUUUUCAACACAAAAACACAAUUGUUGAUCGAAGACAAAAACUGAGAGCCAUUACCAAAUUUGGAAAAAAUAUCAAAAAAGCUUUAGCUAACCGAACGGUGAAUCAUAACUGAAGUUCAAUUAAAAACAUCGGACUGUUGAUGCUGAUACCCAAUAG